CUCUCAAAAGUCUCAGAUCAUCCCGGGUUGCAGCAUCAGAUAGGACGCAUCCAAGCAGCCUCUUGCGCUGCUGGGUUAUGUCAUCCAGCUGUUCAAGGACGAUUGACAUGUCUGGGAGCUGCGCAAACCCCUCUGAGCUGUCCUUGCUCUGUCCUUCAUCCUGUACCUGAAGCACAGGAUCUUCCUUAGUAAAGUUGUCUGAGUCUGAGGAGGGUUGCCAAGAAAGUGAUCUGACUAGAAGUAUCAUGAUUCUGCAUUUUUUUGUUCGCUAGCUACUCUUCGGAUGAAACAGUUCGUGUUUUUGUCAACACACCUUCGAGCUGCGACCUCUCUGCAGCCAGAGCUGGAUGUCUUGAUUCACUCUGACUGGGACGUUAUGAAGCCCUACGAACUUCGCAUGCCCACUUGUUCCUUGACAGUGACCGCAAGGAUUUCGAACCAACGGGGACAUAAAUCGCUUGCUUCUACGGUUGGCCGCCAUCGUGUCUCCAAAGAGCUGUCUUGGACCACCGGCAUCACAUGCCGUCCGUGGAAAAUGAGUGCAGCACGUCAGAUUCGACACUUACAGCUUCAGGAUGGAUGAAUAUUCGAAAUUAAAUUCUUUCUCUUUUGAUUAUUGAUCGAGCUUCCCUCAAAUGCGUAGUGAUGUGUUCCAUGUUGGCGAACCUUUGAGCCAACUUUGGCGCAUCUGGUGCAAUUUGUCCCCAACCUCAUGCGGUUGCAAAUCUUUGUCAGGCAGAAGAUAUUGAAGUAGAGAGUAGCAUCAUCAACUUAUGCAAGCUGAAAGUCUAGAAUUUAAAAGCAGUUUUCGGAUCUAAUAUCAUCAUGUGAUGAGAGCCAUCGCUGGUAGUUGUACAAGCAGGGAAGUGAAAUGUGGUCUCAUGGUGGUUUAAAAUCACUUGACAGAGUGCACUGUAUUGAUCCAUCACUGACCAGGGCGUCGGUAAAGGUGCAGAUGUUUGCUAAAUCCCCAUA
Molecule: long non-coding RNA, 975 nt
Filed under: Coccomyxa subellipsoidea
Lineage: Eukaryota; Viridiplantae; Chlorophyta; Trebouxiophyceae; Coccomyxaceae
Description: long non-coding RNA (CSUB_LNC000782)
Source: RNAcentral